This 253-nucleotide ribosomal RNA is filed under the name uncultured bacterium. RNAcentral's name for it is "partial 16S ribosomal RNA". It matches the Rfam family "Bacterial small subunit ribosomal RNA", at positions 524 to 776 of the family's 1533-position model. The record is from RNAcentral.
UACAGAGGGUGCAAGCGUUAAUCGGAAUUACUGGGCGUAAAGCGCGCGUAGGCGGCUUGUUAAGUCAGGGGUGAAAUCCUGGAGCUCAACUCCAGAACUGCCUUUGAUACUGGCGAGCUUGAGUUCGGGAGAGGUGAGUGGAACUGCGAGUGUAGAGGUGAAAUUCGUAGAUAUUCGCAAGAACACCAGUGGCGAAGGCGGCUCACUGGCCCGAUACUGACGCUGAGGUGCGAAAGCGUGGGGAGCAAACAGG